UACGUAGGGGGCAAGCGUUGUCCGGAAUCAUUGGGCGUAAAGCGCGUGUAGGCGGUCCGGUAAGUCCGCUGUGAAAGUCCAGGGCUCAACCCUGGGAUGCCGGUGGAUACUGUCGGGCUAGAGUACGGAAGAGGCGAGUGGAAUUCCCGGUGUAGCGGUGAAAUGCGCAGACAUCGGAGGAACACCAAUUGCGAAGGCAGCUCGCUGGGACGUUACUGACGCUGAGACGCGAAAGCGUGGGGAGCAAACAGG
Molecule: ribosomal RNA, 252 nt
Filed under: uncultured bacterium
Lineage: Bacteria
Description: partial 16S ribosomal RNA
Rfam family: Bacterial small subunit ribosomal RNA
Source: RNAcentral